UUAAGCGUGUAGGCUGGUUUUCCAGGCAAAUCCGGAAAAUCAAGGCUGAGGCGUGAUGACGAGGCACUACGGUGCUGAAGCAACAAAUGCCCUGCUUCCAGGAAAAGCCUCUAAGCAUCAGGUAACAUCAAAUCGUACCCCAAACCGACACAGGUGGUCAGGUAGAGAAUACCAAGGCGCUUGAGAGAACUCGGGUGAAGGAACUAGGCAAAAUGGUGCCGUAACUUCGGGAGAAGGCACGCUGAUAUGUAGGUGAAGUCCCUCGCGGAUGGAGCUGAAAUCAGUCGAAGAUACCAGCUGGCUGCAACUGUUUAUUAAAAACACAGCACUGUGCAAACACGAAAGUGGACGUAUACGGUGUGACGCCUGCCCGGUGCCGGAAGGUUAAUUGAUGGGGUCAGCGCAAGCGAAGCUCUUGAUCGAAGCCCCGGUAAACGGCGGCCGUAACUAUAACGGUCCUAAGGUAGCGAAAUUCCUUGUCGGGUAAGUUCCGACCUGCACGAAUGGCGUAAUGAUGGCCAGGCUGUCUCCACCCGAGACUCAGUGAAAUUGAACUCGCUGUGAAGAUGCAGUGUACCCGCGGCAAGACGGAAAGACCCCGUGAACCUUUACUAUAGCUUGACACUGAACAUUGAGCCUUGAUGUGUAGGAUAGGUGGGAGGCUUAGAAGUGUGGACGCCAGUCUGCAUGGAGCCGACCUUGAAAUACCACCCUUUAAUGUUUGAUGUUCUAACGUUGACCCGUAAUCCGGGUUGCGGACAGUGUCUGGUGGGUAGUUUGACUGGGGCGGUCUCCUCCUAAAGAGUAACGGAGGAGCACGAAGGUUGGCUAAUCCUGGUCGGACAUCAGGAGGUUAGUGCAAUGGCAUAAGCCAGCUUGACUGCGAGCGUGACGGCGCGAGCAGGUGCGAAAGCAGGUCAUAGUGAUCCGGUGGUUCUGAAUGGAAGGGCCAUCGCUCAACGGAUAAAAGGUACUCCGGGGAUAACAGGCUGAUACCGCCCAAGAGUUCAUAUCGACGGCGGUGUUUGGCACCUCGAUGUCGGCUCAUCACAUCCUGGGGCUGAAGUAGGUCCCAAGGGUAUGGCUGUUCGCCAUUUAAAGUGGUACGCGAGCUGGGUUUAGAACGUCGUGAGACAGUUCGGUCCCUAUCUGCCGUGGGCGCUGGAGAACUGAGGGGGGCUGCUCCUAGUACGAGAGGACCGGAGUGGACGCAUCACUGGUGUUCGGGUUGUCAUGCCAAUGGCACUGCCCGGUAGCUAAAUGCGGAAGAGAUAAGUGCUGAAAGCAUCUAAGCACGAAACUUGCC
RNAcentral lists this ribosomal RNA (1306 nucleotides) under Escherichia coli. RNAcentral describes it as "partial 23S ribosomal RNA". It matches the Rfam family "Bacterial large subunit ribosomal RNA", at positions 1512 to 2798 of the family's 2925-position model. Lineage: Bacteria; Pseudomonadati; Pseudomonadota; Gammaproteobacteria; Enterobacterales; Enterobacteriaceae. The record is from RNAcentral.